This 315-nucleotide long non-coding RNA is filed under the name Oryza brachyantha (malo sina). RNAcentral describes it as "long non-coding RNA (OBRA_LNC001625)". Lineage: Eukaryota; Viridiplantae; Streptophyta; Magnoliopsida; Poales; Poaceae. The record is from RNAcentral.
GCCCGACCUCCGACUCCGAGAACCUAACAGCUACCUAGUUACCUCCUCUCGCUACUGAUCCUCCAAGCUUAGCAAGCUACAAGCUAAUCCGCCUAUCUGCCUCGCUCGCUAGCUAGCCAGCAAGUUCCGGCGUGCACGCGGCGGGGCGCCGCCGAGCGAUCGAUCUCACCGAGCUGCGUUGGCUGCGGCGGAGGCGCACGCAACCAUAUAUAAACCUUGGGUUGGUGGCUUAAUGAUCGAGAGGAAGAUGGCUCGGCCGAUGCGCCAUGGUGGUGUCCAUGGGAGAGGGGGGAAGACAGACAGGCGCAAGCGGUU